CCAAUAGCGUAUAUUAAAGUUGUUGCAGUUAAAAAGCUCGUAGUUGAAUUUCGGGACUAAUAUGUCGGUCGUACUUUGUACGUACUAGCAUUAUUGGUUUCUCCCUUCUGACGAACCACGAUGUCAUUAAUUUUGGUGUCAUGGGAAAUCAGGACUGUUACUUUGAAAAAAUUAGAGUGUUUAAAGCAAGCUCGUGCUUGAAUACAUUAGCAUGGAAUAA
This 220-nucleotide ribosomal RNA is filed under the name uncultured Glomus. RNAcentral describes it as "partial small subunit ribosomal RNA". It matches the Rfam family "Eukaryotic small subunit ribosomal RNA", at positions 591 to 817 of the family's 1831-position model. Lineage: Eukaryota; Fungi; Glomeromycota; Glomeromycetes; Glomerales; Glomeraceae. The record is from RNAcentral.